Molecule: ribosomal RNA, 254 nt
Filed under: uncultured bacterium
Lineage: Bacteria
Description: partial 16S ribosomal RNA
Rfam family: Bacterial small subunit ribosomal RNA
Source: RNAcentral
CGGUCUUUUUGUUAGCGGCGAACGGUCGAGUAACACGUAACCGACCUGCCCUUUGGUCUGGGAUAGCCCUCCGAAAGGGGGAGUAAUACCGGAUGGUCUCAUAAAAUCGCAUGGUUUUGUGAGUAAAGCUUUAUGCGCCGGAGGAGGGGGUUGCGGCCUAUCAGCUGGUUGGCGGGGUAACGGCCCACCAAGGCGACGACGGGUAGCUGGUCUGAGAGGAUGGUCAGCCGGAUUGGGACUGAGACACGGCCCAA